Felis catus (domestic cat) is the source of this 9242-nucleotide RNA transcript. It is a transcript of the gene named adaptor related protein complex 5 subunit mu 1, with no coding region annotated. Lineage: Eukaryota; Metazoa; Chordata; Mammalia; Carnivora; Felidae. The transcript is spliced from 10 exons. The record is from RefSeq and is a predicted model, not a curated record.
CCCACAGAGCCCAGGCGGGGCGGGAGGGCGGCCAUGAAGCGAAGGCGCAGACGCCUGUCAGCUGCCUCCCGGCGCCGCCCGCGCCGCUCCCAUUGUCACCGCCUCGUACGCCGGAAGUGGAGCUGCGCGCGCCCGGUUGGCUGUCGGGAGGGGCCGGCCAGGGAAGCCGGCAGCCGGCGAGCCGCAGAGAGGCUCGUCGCCUGGGCGAGUGAGGAACUGUGAUCCUUGCGGGCCACCGUCCCGGAAGUGGACGGUAGAGGAAGAAAGCAGUGGGUUGGUGGGGAGGAAUGUUUCUCGAGAUUCUAGGCGAGGAGUCACAGAACUUCUGUGGCGUGUGUUGACAGGACGGACUCAGAGGUUUUUUUAGUCACUUGACCAGAAGGAGCCAGCGUCUCUGCAGAGCCCGACCUGUUUGUGGUGAGGCAGAAGGUGGCUCAGGUUGAGGGAGCCCCGGGUCUUCUGGUAGAAGUCCAUCUGAGAAAGCCAGUCCUUUUUCCGUAGAGACCUUAGGGAUCAGCUGAUGCUUUAGUGGCUUAAUGGCCCAGCGGGCAGUGUGGCUCAUAAGCCGCGAGCCGGGAACUCCAUUUUGUGGCACCGUCAGAUUCUCCAGACGGUAUCCAACUGUUGAAAAACGAGCCAAAGUCUUCAAUGGAGCAAGUUAUGUGCCUAUUCCUGAAGAUGGUCCCUUUCUUAAAGCACUACUCUUUGAACUUAGAUUAUUGGAUGAUGAUGAGGACUUCAUAGAGAGUCGUGAUAGCUGUUCACACAUCAAUAAAACAUCUGUCUAUGGGCUCCUCAUAGGAGGUGGAGAACUCUGGCCAGUUGUUGCUUUUCUGAAGAAUAACAUGAUAUAUGCUUGUGUUCCACUAGUUGAACAAACUUUAUCCCCUCAUCCACCGUUAAUUAGCAUUAGUGGAAUUUCACAAGGCUUUGAACUUCUUUUUGGAGUACAGGAUUUUCUUUCCUUGAGUCAAAAAAAUGACACUGAGCUAAAUACAAAAUUGAACCAAUUACCUGAUUUGCUUCUACAAGCUUGUCCAUUUGGAACUUUGUUGGAUGCCAAUUUACAGAAUUCAUUGGAUAGUAUUAAUUUUGCUUCUGUGACUCAUUCACAAAAACAGCCAGCCUGGAAAGUUGGAACAUACAAAGGAAAACCACAAGUUUCUAUUUCUAUCACCGAAAAGGUAAAAUCCAUGCAAUACGAUAAACAGGAUAUAGCAGAUACAUGGCAGGUCGUUGGAACUGUCACUUGCAAGUGUGACUUAGAAGGAAUCAUGCCAAAUGUUACCAUCAGCUUGAGUCUCCCCACCAAUGGGUCUCCACUUCAGGAUAUUCUAGUUCAUCCUUGUGUGACUUCUCUUGAUUCUGCCAUUCUGACUUCUAGUAGCAUUGAUGCAAUGGAUGAUUCUGCAUUUAGCGGACCUUACAAAUUUCCACUCACACCUCCCUUAGAGUCAUUUAACUUAUGCUACUAUACUUCCCAGGUCCCUGUUCCACCGAUUUUGGGUUUUUAUCAAAUGAAAGAGGAAGAAAUACAAGUAAAAAUAACAGUUAAUUUAAAACUUCAUGAAAGUGUGAAAAAUAAUUUUGAGUUCUGUGAAGCUCAUAUACCUUUUUAUAACAGGGGUCCAAUUACACAUGUGGAAUACAAAGUGAGUUUUGGCCAGCUUGAAGUAUUUCGAGAGAAAAGCUCAUUGGUCUGGAUUAUUGGACAGAAGUUCCCCAAAUCAAUGGAAAUUAAUCUUUCUGGAACUGUAACUUUUGGAGCCAAGAGUCAUGAGAAGCAGUCAUUUGAUGAGAUUUGCAUUGGAGGUACAGCAUACUUAAAGCUUCAUUUUAGGAUCUUAGAUUAUACACUCACUGGUUGUUAUGCGGAUCAGCAUUCAGUUCAAGUUUUUGCAUCAGGAAAACCAAAAAUAAGUACACACCGGAAACUAAUUUCUUCUGACUAUUACAUCUGGAAUUCUAAGGCUCCUGCUCCAGUAACAUAUGGAUCAUUAUUACUGUCUGAGUCUCUCUGCCUGCUGUCUGAAAGAGGAAAAGUGAGGAACAAGAUAACAUAACACCGAGGCCUAUGCGACCCUCAGGAAACUCCCGCUGAAGACCACGCCCCUACACCCAUGGAGGGGAGGGGCUUCCUAAAUUCCCAGUCCUGCGCUGGAGGGUUCCCUAUGGUUGCCCGGUUGGUGGCGCCUGAGAGCUUCCCAGGGGCUGCUCGAACCCACAGUUCUCCUUUCUAUCAGUAACUAUUAUUGGAAGUCAAAGGUUGAGAAAUUGCAAUCCAGGAAACCCUCUGGAGGGUGUUUUGAGGAUUUAAACUGAGAAGUUAUCUGAUUCCUGGAGGUGUGAACUCCAGGGAAGGGUGAGAGAGGCUUCUGGGUUGAACCCACUCUGAUCCAGAGUUACUGAGGCCAACGCAUACCCUGGAGGCCAUGGGGUAUAAGACAGGUGAAGGCUUACGCUGGAAGUGCACAUUUGGUCAAAGCUAGCUCCAAGGAAGAGGACUCGACCUUCAUCUAAGAACUGCUCUGUGCUGCCCAGAGACUUCCUAGCGCUAUGUGUCAGGCCUGUUGGACAGUGGAGCACCCAUUUUUCAAUGGCAACUCUAUGUGGCAACGAGAAGCAGUUGCAGUAGUGGAUUGGUGUGCUCAAGGUCAGUAUUCCACUUCGUGGGGUGGAGAAGUUGGACCAAGCAAAAGCCUCUUGUGCUCUAGAUAAUGGGGGAGGGAGAUACCCAUUAUUUGUCCACAUUUAUCCAUAUAUUUAUGGAUGAUUUGUAGAGCAGUUCAGAUAGUUUCAUCUCCAAAUUGCAAAAAACAUCUUUUACUUCUUAAAUUGAGAUGAAACAAAGUGAACUGUUCCCUGUCUACUGCCCAAGUAAAGUUUAAAUCUUGGUCUCCAGAAGGAAAUUUUGAGAGUAUUCUUUGCACACCAAUAUUUACUUAGGCCAUACAAAUGCAUACUGUUCUAGGCUGGUUCUGAAUGUAGAUCAUAAUAACUAACAUUUCUUAAGCACUUACUGUUGAUUGAUCCCUAGGCUUUUUGUCUUUUAAUCCUCCCAAUAACCCAUGGAAAUUUGCUACCUGCUCUUUGUAGGGGAAGGAAAUUGGAGCUUGGUGAGGUGGAGUGGUAGACCAGAAUCUGGACACAGGGGAGCCAGUCUCAGGAGCUCUGUCCUCUAUAAUGCCUUCCAGGAAGCAAACCUGGUUCUUUGGCAGUUGGAAUGAGAGACCUCACAUCUAUUUCCAGCACCUCCCCCACAAUUGGUCUUUCUAACACAGGUAACAGUGAAGUUACUCUAAACACUGAAAUUACCAACAUGGAUCCAGUCCAUCUUUCCCUAAUUAGGUUGGCAUGAACAUUUCUCUGCUUUCAUCUUUCAAAGCCCUCCCUUUUACAAACCCACCAUUCAGUUUGUAUGUCCUCUCCGGCAAGUCUGCCAGUGACACUUUGCAGUCAUCUAUAAAAUAAACUUUUAGUCCCAGCUCCGUCUCCACAAGCAAAUGACUCACUCAGAUUCCAUCAUCGAAAGGUGGGGAAUGUAAAUGUGAUGCUUUGAAAUGUCUCCUUUGGGUUCAGGGAAUGUACAUGGUAGGGGCUAAUUGUCAGGAAAUUUAAUUGUUACUCUGUGUAUCGAGCUUCCCUUGUGUGCUGGGGCACACCAUAGGUGCUAAUAGUGAGAAAAUUUGACUGUAGCUCUGCUGUGCUCUCUUCAUUAAGCUAAUGGAACAUUUUCCUUUCAUUUUCUCCCUAGGGUGGCUGUAGGAGUGCAACCUUAUAAUUGUUGCUCUUACUGUAAUUGGAGGUAGUAGGAGUAUAUAUAAUCUUAUUGUCUUUCCUAUGUGGUGGUAGUUUAUUUAUGACCUAUUGAUAAUUCCCAGCCGGCAGUAGAAAAACUCAGUGAGUAUUACAUUAGCAUUCCCUACUAGGAGAGCGCCUACCAAAGACUAUUAUUAACCAGGAAGAACACGUAUGAGGGAUGGCCCAUCAUACCAAAUAUAAACUUCAUUACUGCAAAGAUUGACCCAUCUGGGUAUCAUGGGUGAUUAUUUGUUUCGCUAAAAUUAAUAAAGCCAUCGUCUCUAUCUUUCUUUAGAUGUAUGAAUAUAGAUUCAUGAAUCUUUUUGGGAGGCUCUCAAGGCUACUGCAUAUCUUCAAAGUGAUAAGGAGUUUUAUUUGGCCAUUGAGGUCCUUGGAGUGUAAUGGGCCAUACAAAAAACAUAAGUAUUUAGCAUCUACCACCCUGAUUCAGGGCACUGGGGUGUGCUGAGUACAGCUUAGGGCCAGCAGGACCCUCCCCAAAGGGCAUCCCAGGGGAUGACCUGGGAACCUGUUGCCCCACAUACAAAUGAGGAGAUCUCCUGAGGCACAAACAUCUGUGUUGUCAAAUCUUGGCCUCCUACAACAUAUUUUGAUGAAAUAACCUUUUAAUUUUUACAAGAUGUAACAUUUUUUAGGACACGGAGUAUUCUCUGGAUAUUGUCCACAACUAUGUGUUCCAUUCAGCUUUCAUUAGAGUCACUGAAGAGAACUAGCAUGUGAACUAUUUUGCUGUUUAAAAUGGGUCCAUUCAAGGACUGCCCUUUACUUCUGAACAGAAAGUAUCUUCUAAGGUCAGUACACAGAGCUCAUAAAUAUAAGCAAAUUAGGUUGGCAUCCAUGAGAACAUAGAAUUAUGUAUUCCACCCCCCACUAGAUUAUUGAAUAUCAAAGAAUUCAGUAGUGGACUGAAUGCAUAGUCAAAUAUCUAAAUUGUUAAAACUUAAAAUCUGAAAAUUGGCAUUUGGUCAAGUAGCUAUUAUGUGGCAAGCACAACACUACAAAUCUCCACAGAUAUCAUUUCAUUUUAUACUCCUGUAGUAGGGCAGAAUAAUGGCCUCCAAACAUGUCUAUGUCCUAACCUCUGAAACCCCUGAAAGUCUCUUACCUUCUAUGGAAAAAGAGGCCUUGCAGGUGUAAUUAAGGUAAGGAUAAGAUAUUGGAAAAUUAACCUGGAUUAUCUGGGUGGACCAAUAUAAUCACAAGGGUCAUUAUAAGAGGGAAGAAAGCGGGUCAGAGUCAGAAAAGAAAAUGUGACACCAAAGCAGGAGUUGGAGUGAUGUGGCCAGGAGCCAAGGAAUGUGGGCAGCCUCUGGAGGGUAAAAAAGGCAAGAAAAUGGCUUAUCCCUCUAGAGACUCUGGAAAGAAUGCAGUCCUGUCAGCCCAUUUAGGACUUCUGACCACCAGAAUGGUAAACGAGAAGGCUGUGUCAUUUUAAGCCACUAAAUCUGUGGUUAUUUGUUACAGCAGCAACAGGGCACUAUAUAACUCUCCACAAUUUUCUAAAACGGGCCUAUCUCCAUUUUGCAGAUUGAGGAAAUGAUAUUUCAGGGACUCAAGUGGUUUAACUCACCCUGCUUCCUCUCCCAGUGCAUGGAGUGUAGCUAUUUUUGAGCGUACCUGUGUUUUCUCUUCAGGUAGUUGGGUCCUCCCAAGGUUCCGAAAAAGCUGCAAGACGCAUGAGGUAGGUAAUUUGCUAACUGCACAUCCACACUUUUGUCUUCAACAUAAGGUUAGAUGACUUUCUAAUGAGCUUAGCUGAGUUUUUUCUUUUCUAAAAAGUUGGCCGUUUUUGUGAAGAUUAAUUCAGCAUUUCUGAAACCGGAGCUUCCUGUAUUGCUCUCUCUUUUGGCAAACGUUUUCCUUUGUCUCACCAUUUAAGUUUAGAUUAAAAAACUAGACCAGGAGGGAAUAAACAGUCUGUGAGCGGAAGGGGUUUAAUGUGUUUCUCAGUUUGCAAUAGUAACUUCAGUCAGGUAGGGUCUUAGAGAAAGAUGUCCUAUUCCAGUUUUAACUUCAAAGCCCACAGAAAUGGAGAGCAUGCUUUUGGAGAGUUAAUGGUCAUUUUCCAUGUCCUUAGUAUUGUGGCUCCCUGGGUUCUGCAGCAAGUCUAGAUAUAAAGGUCUGAGCCUUUAGGUUUGUUCUGGUUUUAAGCACAUUUGGUUCUGUAGUAGAUAUGUGUUCAUUACCCAUCUCCCCUAGCUUGGGGGAAUAUUCUUCCCCUUUCUGUGUCGUAUGAUGAGUGAGGGCAACCUAGCCAUCCCCUUGUGACCUAGGCUUGGCCAAUCAGAAUACAGUAUGUUAUAUCCUGACUACAGUGAUUGGUUCAGGGAUCAAGAAAGAUGGUGCAGAGGUUUAUAUGUAACCUUAAAUAUUUUCUUCAUGUAUAUAUAAGCAACUAUAAAAAUACAUCCCUAUUUUCUCUAUUUUAACACAGGAAGUAUAUUAGACAUACUGUUCUCCAAUGUGCUUUUUUCACCUAACAAUGUAUCUUGUCAAUCUCUUCCUAUCAAUAGAUAAGAGAACUUCAUCCCUUAUGCAGCUAGAUAGUAUUACGGGAUCCAUUUUGAUCAGAAGGACCUUGGAAAACCAGGUUGAUUUUGAGGAGUUGGGUCAACUCUAUAUGAGAAAGGAGUGGUAGAAGGUUAUAACUGGAUCCCAUCCCUUCUUCUACCUGGCAGAGAACCAGUACCUGGUUCUCUUACAGAGCUAGGAGAAAGAGGGUCCCUGGACCGGGAGGUGCUAGAAACAAGUUAAUGGUGUUGACCUUAUUUUGAAAGGAUGAAGUUAAAUAACGUAUACAUGCUAAAUGUUGAAACUACUGCCAGCAUGCCUCCCAACUUGGCUUCUAGACAGCAGACAGUUACUUUUAUACCACUCAGGGAGGGAUGAAAAAGGUUCUUCUUCAGAAACCUGACCCCACCAGGAAAGAUGACCUAGAAAUACUGCUGUGGGCUGGGAGUUCUCAUCAACAGCCUGAUCACUCUAGAGUGAGACCUUAGUCAUCAAGCCUCCCAGCUAACCAGAGAACUUUCACUGAGCUUUUAAGUAAUCUACUCUUAAUUAUCAUCAAGCAGUUAAGAAUUCUUAGAUAUCUGAGGGAAACUUCCAAAAUAAAAGAUAUAGUCCAAAAUGAACCAAAAGCAAAAAAUAAGUAAGUUGCUGCUUGGAGGAAACAAAGACUACAGGGGGAGCUGAAAACUUUUUGAAAAAGCUAUCAUCAAAAUCUUCAGAGAAAUAAAAGAUGAUACUGCAUCCAUGAAACAUGUUCUAUUAAAAAGGAACAUUCAGAAAAAUGUAGAAGAAAAGAAUUAUUGGAAAUUUAAGAAAAGAGAAAUUCAGUAAAUGGAUUGGAAGAGAAAUUGAGAAAGUCUUCCUGAAAUCAGAUUAAAAGGCAAAUAGAAAAUAUAAAAGCAGGCUUAAGAAAAUUAGGGAAAUACAGAAUGUCCCUAAAUAUGGGUUUGUCUGUGGCUAGACUGGGGAUAUGGGUAUUUGUGAAGAAGAGCAUGGAGGUGAAGUGUCAUUCUCGUCACAUCAUGUCCGGGGUACACGCUAUCAACGUUACAUCACUGAUGCUGUUAACCAAGAUGACCUGGCCCAGAUAGCAUUUCCCACAUUUAUCCAUGUAAAGUUACUUAUUAUUUCUCCUUCCCCUACUCUACUCUUCAGAAGCAAGUCACUAAGCAUAGCCCACGCUCAGGGGUGAAGAACUGAGACAGGUGGUGAGUAUCGACUUAAAUCGUUUAGAAUUAUACCCUUCUCCUUUAUUUAUUUUUUAUUUGUUCAAUUGUAUAUUUUUGGUUAUUAAUUUUAUAUUUUGGAUUAUAAUCUGAUACUACCUUAUUUAUUUUGUUGCCUAAAUUUUUCCAGGUUUGUCCACUGGUGAUCUGUUAGGUUGGCUCCUGUUCCCCUUUGAUAUGCCUCAUUUUCUGUUUGUUUUUUGAGUAUUUCUCUACUCUCUGGCAUUACAGGAUCCUCUGAGUUCAUCUGGAAUAUUUUCUCCCUUGGCUCUAUAAUCAGUCAUUUUCCCAAGGAGUCUGGUUCCUUUUAUUAGAGAAUAUCAUAUGCCCCUAAUUUAUUGCUGUGAUUCUUUUUUUCUUUUUCUUUUAGGACUCUACCCCCUGUCAACUUAAGAGCUAUUGGGAAUAUCAGGGAAAGAGCAAGAUUUUGACAAGUUUCCUCAGGAUUAAGGUAGACUUUAUUUUAACACCUCACUCUAGCUCCUUACAAGACAGAGGCUAUAUUAAUUGUCACUUAUCCUAAAAGAACAGUAUUAGAAAUUGGAAUUUUCAUCCUUAACCUUAUACCCUCAGAAAUAUUAUUUAACCAGCAUUUUACAAUUCAUCCAAAGAAUGCUAAACAGGUAUUCCAAGAAUUAGAUUCCAUGAUAUUAAGUAUUUUAAGAGCAGGAAUCCCAUCAAUACAUAGGAUAGUUAACUUCUUAGUCUUUGCAUUUUUAUUAGGAAUAUCUAACAGAUUUUAUAAAUCCCAUACUCCGAGUCAUUCAGUGUGUGCACAGCUAGUGUCAUUUUUUUUUUUUUACUUAAGAAAAGAAAAAGAUGUUUUCACUCUAUACAUAAAAUGAAUAACCAACACUAGAAUUAAAAAAUUACUUUAGAAAGAGGCAGUUCAAUUAAUCUGAAAUCUAUACUAUAUAAAUGUGAAUUCAAAGUUAAUUGUAUUCUUUUUCCAAAAAGCUACAUUUGCACUUACAGAUAUAAGGCUCAACUCAACUGUGUGUGUCAAAUGACUUAAUCUGGUUAUUGGGUUUAUGGAGGGAUUUAAACAUUUUAGUGAAAGGAGACAAAUACAACAUUCUUUUGUUUAAAUUAAGUUUUGUAAUUCAAAGGAUUUGUUCAUUUGGGCCUUCAAGUUCCUCCUUUCAACACGAGAGAGUCUUGAAGGUAGAAUCAUUGCUUGAAAGGCUUUUGCUUUCGCAUCUAACUUUUACUUUGAAACUAACCAAAAAGAAACUAAGUGUAUCAGAAGCAUACCUAAUCUCCUGGAAGUCAGCAUUGCAUCAAGUGUAUUAAAAUUAAAAACUACUCUUUUUUUUCUCCUCCUUAAAUAGGCAUCUGGUAAUAAGAGGCCAAUCAGCUGGGUUAGGAUAAAACAGACAGUGUUUUUCCUUCACUAGUUCAUUUGGAAAAGUCGCUUUGCUAAUUGAGAAAAUUUUAAUGAAUUUUACUUGCAUUAAAAUAAAGGUGAUUGCUUCAUGGCAACAAUGUACUCAUUUGAGAAAGUCAUUACAUUUAUGUAUUGUGUUUUCAAGUAAAUACUUUUGCCAAAAUGUAUUAGCAAGGAAUAUAAUAUUAUGGUUCAUGGUUCUUGUAGUAUCUGAAAAGAAUAAUUGUAUAACCAAUCAAUGAAAACAAAGUAAAUGUUCCUCUUGGGUUUGUACAAUAAAAAUGGAAUUAAAAUUA